AUUGAACGCUGCGGAAUGCUUUACACAUGCAAGUCGAACGGCAGCACGGGGCAACCUGGUGGCGAGUGGCGAACGGGUGAGUAAUAUAUCGGAACGUGCCCAAUCGUGGGGGAUAACGUAGCGAAAGUUACGCUAAUACCGCAUACGAUCUACGGAUGAAAGCGGGGGAUCGCAAGACCUCGCGCGAAUGGAGCGGCCGAUAUCAGAUUAGGUAGUUGGUGGGGUAAAGGCUCACCAAGCCAACGAUCUGUAGCUGGUCUGAGAGGACGACCAGCCACACUGGAACUGAGACACGGUCCAGACUCCUACGGGAGGCAGCAGUGGGGAAUUUUGGACAAUGGGCGCAAGCCUGAUCCAGCCAUUCCGCGUGCAGGAUGAAGGCCUUCGGGUUGUAAACUGCUUUUGUACGGAACGAAACGGUCUGCCCUAAUACGGCAGGCUAAUGACGGUACCGUAAGAAUAAGCACCGGCUAACUACGUG
RNAcentral lists this ribosomal RNA (481 nucleotides) under uncultured bacterium. Its description in RNAcentral is "bacterial SSU rRNA". It matches the Rfam family "Bacterial small subunit ribosomal RNA", at positions 30 to 507 of the family's 1533-position model. The record is from RNAcentral.